Molecule: ribosomal RNA, 468 nt
Filed under: uncultured bacterium
Lineage: Bacteria
Description: partial 16S ribosomal RNA
Rfam family: Bacterial small subunit ribosomal RNA
Source: RNAcentral
GACGAACGCUGGCGGCGUGCUUAACACAUGCAAGUCGAACGGAAAGGCCCUGCUUUUGUGGGGUGCUCGAGUGGCGAACGGGUGAGUAACACGUGAGUAACCUGCCCUUGACUUUGGGAUAACUUCAGGAAACUGGGGCUAAUACCGGAUAGGAGCUCCUGCUGCAUGGUGGGGGUUGGAAAGUUUCGGCGGUUGGGGAUGGACUCGCGGCUUAUCAGCUUGUUGGUGGGGUAGUGGCUUACCAAGGCUUUGACGGGUAGCCGGCCUAAGAGGGUGACCGGCCACAUUGGGACUGAGAUACGGCCCAGACUCCUACGGGAGGCAGCAGUGGGGAAUAUUGCACAAUGGGCGGAAGCCUGAUGCAGCAACGCCGCGUGCGGGAUGACGGCCUUCGGGUUGUAAACCGCUUUCGCCUGCGACGAAGCGUGAGUGACGGUAAUGGGUAAAGAAGCACCGGCUAACUACGUG